GAUGAACGCUGGCUGUGUGCCUAAUACAUGCAUGUCGAGCGGAGUUCUUCGGAACUUAGCGGCGAAUGGGUGAGUAACACGUACUUAACGUGCCCUCUAGAUUGGGAUAACGAUGAGAAAUUAUCGCUAAUACCGGAUACUUAUUAGUUUGGCAUCAAACUAAUAUAAAAGGAGCGUUUGCUUCACUAGAGGAUCGGGGUGCGGAACAUUAGUUUGUUGGUAAGGUAAUGGCUUACCAAGACGAUGAUGUUUAGCGGGGUUGAGAGACUGAUCCGCCACACUGGGACUGAGAUACGGCCCAGACUCCUACGGGAGGCAGCAGUAGGGAAUUUUCCACAAUGGACGAAAGUCUGAUGGAGCGACACAGCGUGCAGGAAGACGGCCUUCGGGUUGUAAACUGCUGUUAUAAGGGAAGAAAAAGCAGUAGAGGAAAUGCUAUUGCCUUGACGGUACCUUGUCAGAAAGCAACGGCUAACUAUGUGCCAGCAGCCGCGGUAAUACAUAGGUUGCAAGCGUUAUCCGGAAUUAUUGGGCGUAAAGCGUCUGUAGGUUGUGUGUUAAGUCUGGCGUUAAAACUUGGGGCUCAACCCCAAAUUGCGUUGGAUACUGGCACGCUAGAAUUGUGUAGAGGUUAGCGGAAUUCCUAGUGAAGCGGUGAAAUGCGUAGAUAUUAGGAAGAACACCAACAUGGCGAAGGCAGCUAACUGGGCACAUAUUGACACUGAGAGACGAAAGCGUGGGGAGCAAACAGGAUUAGAUACCCUGGUAGUCCACGCUGUAAACGAUGAUGAUUAGCUGAUAGAGAACUAUCGGCGCAGCUAACGCAUUAAAUCAUCCGCCUGAGUAGUAUGCUCGCAAGAGUGAAACUUAAAGGAAUUGACGGGGACCCGCACAAGCGGUGGAGCAUGUGGUUUAAUUUGAAGAUACGCGUAGAACCUUACCCACUCUUGACAUCUUCCGCAAUGCUAUAGAGAUAUAGCGGAGGCUAACGGAAUGACAGAUGGUGCAUGGUUGUCGUCAGCUCGUGUCGUGAGACGUUCGGUUAAGUCCUGCAACGAGCGCAACCCUUAUCCUUAGUUAAAUGUUCUAGGGAGACUGCCCGAGUAAUUGGGAGGAAGGUGGGGACGACGUCAAAUCAUCAUGCCUCUUACGAGUGGGGCAACACACGUGCUACAAUGGAUAGUACAAAGAGAAGCAAUACGGCGACGUGGAGCAAAUCUCAAAAAACUAUUCUCAGUUCGGAUUGUAGUCUGCAACUCGACUACAUGAAGUCGGAAUCGCUAGUAAUCGUAGAUCAGCUACGCUACGGUGAAUACGUUCUCGGGUCU
This 1328-nucleotide ribosomal RNA is filed under the name uncultured bacterium. RNAcentral's name for it is "bacterial SSU rRNA". It matches the Rfam family "Bacterial small subunit ribosomal RNA", at positions 28 to 1381 of the family's 1533-position model. The record is from RNAcentral.